GACGAACGCUGGCGGCGUGCUUAACACAUGCAAGUCGAACGGAAAGGCCCUGCUUUUGUGGUGUGCUCGAGUGGCGAACGCGUGAGUAACACGUGAAUAACCUGCCCUUGAUUUUGGUAUAACUUCAGGAAACUAGGGCUACUCCCGUAUCGCAGCUCCUGCUGCAUGGUGGGGGUUGGAUAUUUUCGGCUGUUGGGGUUGGACUCGCGGCUUAUGAGCUUGUUGGUGGGGUAGUGGCUUACCAAGGCUUUGAAGGGUAGGCGGCCUGAGAGGGUGAACGGCGACAAGGGGACUGAGAGAGGGAGCAGAGUGGAACGGGAGGCAGAAGGGGGGAAUAUGACACAAUGGGACGAAGUCUGAUGAAGAAACGCCGCGGGCGGGAUGACGGCCUGUGGGGUGAAAACAGCUUUCGCCUGAGACGAAGCGUGAGUGACGGUAAUGAGUAAAGAAGCACCGGCUAACUACGUG
RNAcentral lists this ribosomal RNA (468 nucleotides) under uncultured bacterium. RNAcentral's name for it is "partial 16S ribosomal RNA". It matches the Rfam family "Bacterial small subunit ribosomal RNA", at positions 28 to 507 of the family's 1533-position model. The record is from RNAcentral.